This 639-nucleotide ribosomal RNA is filed under the name uncultured archaeon. RNAcentral's name for it is "bacterial SSU rRNA". It matches the Rfam family "Archaeal small subunit ribosomal RNA", at positions 21 to 637 of the family's 1478-position model. The record is from RNAcentral.
CCUUACUGCUAUCGGGAUAAGAUUAAGCCAUGCGAGUUGAGCGCUCUCUAGCUAUGUUGAGAGAGCAGCAAACGGCUCAGUAACACGUAGUUAACCUACCCUCAGGACAGGGAUACCCCCGGGAAACUGGGGACAAUACCUGAUAGGCGGAAACGCCUGGAAUGGUCUUCCACUGAAAGGGUGUUGAAAACAUGCUUUCAACACUGCCUGAGGAUGGGACUGCGACCGAUCAGGUUGUUGGUGGGGUAACGGCCCACCAAGCCGAUAACCGGUACGGGCCCUGAGAGGGGAAGCCCGGAGAUGGGAACUGAGACAAGGUCCCAGGUCCUACGGGACGCAGCAGGCGCGAAACCUCCACAAUGCACGAAAGUGUGAUGGGGUUAUCCCGAGUGCUGUCCGAUGAGGAUGGCUUUUCCUCGGUGUAAAAAGCCGAGGGAAUAAAGGGGGGGCAAGACUGGUGUCAGCCGCCGCGGUAAUACCAGCUCCCUGAGUGGUAGGGAUGAUUAUUUGGCCUAAAGCGUUCGUAGCCGGCUUGGUCAGUCUUUCGUUAAAUCCAACGACUCAAUCGUUGGUCUGCGGAANAUACUGCCAGGCUAGAGGACGGGAGAGGUUGACGGUAGUCCCGGGGUANGGGUGAAA